Molecule: ribosomal RNA, 253 nt
Filed under: uncultured bacterium
Lineage: Bacteria
Description: partial 16S ribosomal RNA
Rfam family: Bacterial small subunit ribosomal RNA
Source: RNAcentral
UACGUAGGGGGCGGGCGUUGUCCGGAAUUACUGGGUGUAAAGGGCGUGUAGGCGGGUUAUCAAGUCAGAUGUGAAAUUCCAGGGCUCAACCCUGGCGCUGCAUCUGAAACUGAUGAUCUUGAGUACUGGAGAGGGAAGCGGAAUUCCUAGUGUAGCGGUGAAAUGCGUAGAUAUUAGGAGGAACACCAGUGGCGAAGGCGGCUUUCUGGACAGUAACUGACGAUGAGGCGCGAAAGCGUGGGGUGCGAACAGG